This 1231-nucleotide ribosomal RNA is filed under the name metagenome. RNAcentral's name for it is "bacterial LSU rRNA". It matches the Rfam family "Bacterial large subunit ribosomal RNA", at positions 1564 to 2808 of the family's 2925-position model. The record is from RNAcentral.
UGAAUACGAGACGCUAAGGCGUCGAAGUAGUGUAUGUCCUUCCAAGAAAAGCUUGCACUGUCAUAGAUAAAAAACGCCUGUACCAUAACCGACACAGGUGGGUAGGUAGAGUAUACUAAGGGGCGCGAGAUAACUCUCUCUAAGGAACUCGGCAAAAUAACUCCGUAACUUCGGGAGAAGGAGUGCCUUAUUCGUAAGGUUGCAAUAACAAGAUCCAAGCAACUGUUUAUCAAAAACACAGGUCUCCGCUAAGUCGUAAGACGAUGUAUGGGGGCUGACGCCUGCCCAGUGCCAGAAGGUUAAAGAAGUUGGUUAGCAAUUGCGAAGCUGAUAACUGAAGCCCUGGUGAACGGCGGCCGUAACAAUAACGGUCCUAAGGUAGCGAAAUUCCUUGUCGGGUAAGUUCCGACCCGCACGAAAGGCGUAAUGAUUUGGAUACUGUCUCGGAGAGGGGCUCGGUGAAAUAGACUUGUCUGUGAAGAUGCGGACUACCUGCACCAGGACAGAAAGACCCUAUGAAGCUUUACUGUAACUUGGAAUUGAAAUUGGACUUUAUUCGCGCAGUAUAGGUGGGAGGCGUUGAUUAUAAUCUUGUGGGAUUAUUGGAGCCAUCAGUGAGAUACCACUCUUGUAAUGUUAGAUUUCUAACUUUGAAUCAUUAUCUGGUCAAAGAACAGUUUCAGGCGGGCAGUUUGACUGGGGCGGUCGCCUCCUAAACGGUAACGGAGGCGUACAAAGGUUUCCUCUGAACGGUUAGAAAUCGUAUCUAGAGUGUAAAGGCAUAAGGAAGCUUGACCGUGAGACCUACAAGUCGAGCAGGGACGAAAGUCGGUCUUAGUGAUCUGACGGUACUGAGUGGAAAGGCCGUCACUCAACGGAUAAAAGUUACUCUAGGAUAACAGGCUGAUCUCCCCCAAGAGUUCACAUCGACGGGGAGGUUUGGCACCUCGAUGUCGGCUCAUCGCAUCCUGGGGCGGUAGUACGUCCCAAGGGUUGGGCUGUUCGCCCAUGAAAGCGGUACGCGAGCUGGGUUCAGAACGUCGUGAGACAGUUCGGUCCAUAUCCGGUGUAGGCGUUAGAAUAUUGAGAGGAGCCUUCUUUAGUACGAGAGGACCGAGAAGGACAUACCUCUGGUGUACCAGUUAUCGUGCCAACGGUAAACGCUGGGUAGCUAUGUAUGGAGUGGAUAACCGCUGAAAGCAUCUAAGUGGGAAGCCCACCUCAAGAUAAG